AUCUCUCCACUUUUUGCUUUCUGAAACUUAUUCGAUUCUUUUUUUUUUUUUUAUGAUCGUGAUUCUGUUGCUCCUUUUCGGGUUCAGAGGAGGGGAAGAGUGUUUCUCGUCACUUCUCCUUGUCGUCGUAUGGCCUUGCUCGCAGAUCAAGAAGCUUUUUCGAUUUCGUUUGAGUUACUUUCAGAUUUAACCAAUUUUCUUCCCGUUUGAGGAAGGAAAACUAGGGAUUUAAUCUAGAAGGGAAAUUAGGAGGUUAUAUCGUCGGAUGACAAAUGCAAUCUAAGAAAUGGAAGAGGAAAUGUGAUGGGUUACUAGGUGGGAAAGGUGAUUGAAGAAAAAGAUGACAGUUGCAGGGAUGGAAAAAGAUGAAGACAAG
This 376-nucleotide long non-coding RNA is filed under the name Zostera marina. RNAcentral describes it as "long non-coding RNA (ZMAR_LNC000882)". Lineage: Eukaryota; Viridiplantae; Streptophyta; Magnoliopsida; Alismatales; Zosteraceae. The record is from RNAcentral.